GAUGAACGCUGGCGGCGUGCCUAAUACAUGCAAGUCGAGCGAACAGAUGAGGAGCUUGCUCCUCUGACGUUAGCGGCGGACGGGUGAGUAACACGUGGAUAACCUACCUAUAAGACUGGGAUAACUUCGGGAAGCCGGAGCUAAUACCGGAUAAUAUAUUGAACCGCAUGGUUCAAUAGUGAAAGACGGUUUUGCUGUCACUUAUAGAUGGAUCCGCGCCGCAUUAGCUAGUUGGUAAGGUAACGGCUUACCAAGGCAACGAUGCGUAGCCGACCUGAGAGGGUGACCGGCCACUGGGGAAGAGACACGCGGCCCAGCCCCCAGGGGGGGGCAGAAGGGGGAAUUCUCCCGAAAGGGGGAAACGCCGGAGGGAACACCGCCGGGGGAGGAAGGAAGUUCGUGGGAUCUAAAAAUUUUUUUAUGGGGGAAAAAAAAAUGUAAAAGUAACUAGACACGUCGGGAGGUUACCAAACAAGAAACCCCCGCCUAACUCCG
RNAcentral lists this ribosomal RNA (495 nucleotides) under uncultured bacterium. RNAcentral describes it as "partial 16S ribosomal RNA". It matches the Rfam family "Bacterial small subunit ribosomal RNA", at positions 28 to 505 of the family's 1533-position model. The record is from RNAcentral.